This 505-nucleotide ribosomal RNA is filed under the name uncultured bacterium. RNAcentral's name for it is "partial 16S ribosomal RNA". It matches the Rfam family "Bacterial small subunit ribosomal RNA", at positions 28 to 507 of the family's 1533-position model. The record is from RNAcentral.
GACGAACGCUGGCGGCGUGCCUAAUACAUGCAAGUAGAACGCACAGUUUAUACCGUAGCUUGCUACACCAUAGACUGUGAGUUGCGAACGGGUGAGUAACGCGUAGGUAACCUGCCUGGUAGCGGGGGAUAACUAUUGGAAACGAUAGCUAAUACCGCAUAAUAUUGAUUAUUGCAUGAUAAUUGAUUGAAAGAUGCUAUUGCAUCACUACCAGAUGGACCUGCGUUGUAUUAGCUAGUAGGUGAGGUAACGGCUCACCUAGGCGACGAUACAUAGCCGACCUGAGAGGGCGAUCGGCCACACUGGGACUGAGACACGGCCCAGACUCCUACGGGAGGCAGCAGUAGGGAAUCUUCGGCAAUGGGCGAAAGUCUGACCGAGCAACGCCGCGUGAGUGAAGAAGGUUUUCGGAUCGUAAAGCUCUGUUGUAAGAGAAGAACGGGUGUGAGAGUGGAAAGUUCACACUGUGACGGUAUCUUACCAGAAAGGGACGGCUAACUACGUG